Molecule: ribosomal RNA, 253 nt
Filed under: uncultured bacterium
Lineage: Bacteria
Description: partial 16S ribosomal RNA
Rfam family: Bacterial small subunit ribosomal RNA
Source: RNAcentral
UACGUAGGGUCCGAGCGUUGUCCGGAAUUAUUGGGCGUAAAGAGCUCGUAGGUGGUUUGUCGCGUUGUUCGUGAAAACCGGGGGCUUAACCCUCGGCGUGCGGGCGAUACGGGCAGACUUGAGUACUGCAGGGGAGACUGGAAUUCCUGGUGUAGCGGUGGAAUGCGCAGAUAUCAGGAGGAGCACCGGUGGCGAAGGCGGGUCUCUGGGCCGAUACUGACGCUGAGGAGCGAAAGCGUGGGGAGCAAACAGG